UACGUAGGGUGCGAGCGUUGUCCGGAAUUAUUGGGCGUAAAGAGCUUGUAGGCGGUUUGUCGCGUCUGACGUGAAAAUCCGGGGCUCAACCCCGGACUUGCGGUGGGUACGGGCAGACUAGAGUGUGGUAGGGGAGACUGGAAUUCCUGGUGUAGCGGUGAAAUGCGCAGAUAUCAGGAGGAACACCGAUGGCGAAGGCGGUUCUCUGGGCCUUACCUGACGCUGAGGAGCGAAAGCGUGGGGAGCGAACAGG
RNAcentral lists this ribosomal RNA (253 nucleotides) under uncultured bacterium. Its description in RNAcentral is "partial 16S ribosomal RNA". It matches the Rfam family "Bacterial small subunit ribosomal RNA", at positions 524 to 776 of the family's 1533-position model. The record is from RNAcentral.